Molecule: small RNA, 33 nt
Filed under: Arabidopsis thaliana (thale cress)
Lineage: Eukaryota; Viridiplantae; Streptophyta; Magnoliopsida; Brassicales; Brassicaceae
Description: ATSL289240
Source: RNAcentral
CAAAGAAUGGUAAAAAGAACCAGAAGAUGAAGA